GACCAGACUCCUACGGGAGGCAGCAGUGGGGAAUAUUGCACAAUGGGGGAAACCCUGAUGCAGCAACGCCGCGUGAAGGAAGACGGUUUUCGGAUUGUAAACUUCUGUUCUUAGUGAAGAAGAAUGACGGUAGCUAAGGAGCAAGCCACGGCUAACUACGUGCCAGCAGCCGCGGUAAUACGUAGGGGGCAAGCGUUAUCCGGAAUUACUGGGUGUAAAGGGUGAGUAGGCGGCAUGGUAAGCCAGAUGUGAAAGCCUUGGGCUUAACCCGAGGAUUGCAUUUGGAACUAUCAAGCUAGAGUACAGGAGAGGAAAGCGGAAUUCCUAGUGUAGCGGUGAAAUGCGUAGAUAUUAGGAAGAACACCAGUGGCGAAGGCGGCUUUCUGGACUGAAACUGACGCUGAGGCACGAAAGCGUGGGGAGCGAACAGGAUUAGAUACCCUGGUA
This 447-nucleotide ribosomal RNA is filed under the name uncultured bacterium. Its description in RNAcentral is "bacterial SSU rRNA". It matches the Rfam family "Bacterial small subunit ribosomal RNA", at positions 329 to 792 of the family's 1533-position model. The record is from RNAcentral.